Long non-coding RNA from Trichomycterus rosablanca, 229 nucleotides. RefSeq lists it as uncharacterized. The transcript is spliced from 3 exons. Lineage: Eukaryota; Metazoa; Chordata; Actinopteri; Siluriformes; Trichomycteridae. The record is from RefSeq and is a predicted model, not a curated record.
AGAAAACAGCAGGGAUUAGAGGAUCUGUGUCUGUGCUCCGGGAGGAUGGGGAGAAGAGGGACACGUCGCCGAACGGAACGAUGGACGUAUAAGAACCUAUAAAGAGCAGCCUUGAUCAGACGUCCUGAUUACGAGGAGGCUCGUUGGCCCGCGUUGCCACGGCAGCGGUCGUGGAGGAGGAGGAGGAGCGGCUGUUGCGUUGGCGCCACGCUCUGCUGGCGGGGAUGGA